CUUAGAACAAGCCCCAGCUGCCAAAAUCAACUGUAAAGUCUUGAUAUUCUCAGCCUUCAUUUGAAAAGACAGAGAAGACGAAAUCAAAUAAUUAAAGUGUGCACUGUAGUGAAGGAAAGUUUGCAUGAACAAACGUCCCCUGUGGGCAGAUAGGCCAGCAUUUUGUAAAGCUGUUAUUUUAGGCUAAGCUUGCAAUCCUCUCAGAAGAAGAUUUCUCAUUUCUUUGUGGGAAGAGCAGUACAGCUAGCAGGGCAGUCGUUACUUGGAGAGCAGUCCAGUCUCCUCUGCUUAGAAAUGGAGCUUUGGCACUGGCACAUGCAGAUGCAGCUGGAUCUCUACCACCUUUUUCACUAGAAGAAAUACGCCACUUCUUGGGUGAUAGAAGUAAGUGGCACGAAGAACUCAGUGGUCCUCCACAGCUGUCUGAUUUGGCUUUCACUACUGAGCU
This 448-nucleotide long non-coding RNA is filed under the name Coturnix japonica (Japanese quail). Its description in RNAcentral is "lncRNA (ENSCJPG00005010101.1)". Lineage: Eukaryota; Metazoa; Chordata; Aves; Galliformes; Phasianidae. The record is from RNAcentral.